Molecule: non-coding RNA, 28 nt
Filed under: Bombyx mori (domestic silkworm)
Lineage: Eukaryota; Metazoa; Arthropoda; Insecta; Lepidoptera; Bombycidae
Source: RNAcentral
UGACUGUGUCGGAUUUUCGCGAAUAGAC